This 253-nucleotide ribosomal RNA is filed under the name uncultured bacterium. RNAcentral's name for it is "partial 16S ribosomal RNA". It matches the Rfam family "Bacterial small subunit ribosomal RNA", at positions 524 to 776 of the family's 1533-position model. The record is from RNAcentral.
UACGUAGGGUGCGAGCGUUAAUCGGAAUUACUGGGCGUAAAGCGUGCGCAGGCGGUUUUGUAAGCCAGAUGUGAAAUCCCCGGGCUUAACCUGGGAAUGGCAUUUGGGACUGCAAGGCUUGAGUGCGGCAGAGGAGACUAGAAUUCCUGGUGUAGCAGUGAAAUGCGUAGAUAUCAGGAGGAACACCGGUGGCGAAGGCGGGUCUCUGGGCCGAUACUGACGCUGAGGAGCGAAAGCAUGGGGAGCGAACAGG